RNA transcript from Salvia miltiorrhiza (redroot sage), 1236 nucleotides. RefSeq lists it as uncharacterized. Lineage: Eukaryota; Viridiplantae; Streptophyta; Magnoliopsida; Lamiales; Lamiaceae. The record is from RefSeq and is a predicted model, not a curated record. The transcript has 4 exons.
AAUUUAUAAAUUUUUCAUCUUAUUUUUCUUUUCUUUAAAAAAAAAAACUGCUUCUGCCAUGCCUCUGUUUCCAAAAGCAAAGUGUUUAGAGGAGGUUCCCUUUUCUCUUCAAUUUCUUUACCUACAGAACAACGAAAAAUUCACCAAACUCUUGUCAAUUCGAUUCACCCAACACCAAUAGAUUCUUUAAUUUCAACCCUUUCAUUACAUAACCAGAUUUAGGAAUUGGUUAAAAAGGUAAAGGGUUUCUGGAUUGAACGUAACAAGGCAAGGUGAACAAAGGGCGAAGUGUUAUAGUUCAGACCGCAACUCUUUCGACGGUCGGCAAUUCAAUUGUCUACAAUGACCAAUAGACGACGAAUGUGGCAGUCGGUGGAGGUAUUAACGUUCCCGCCGGGGUUGGCCAUGGAAGGGGGCACAACGACUAUGGGUGUUCGACAACUUCAGCCGCGACAAAUUCGAUUGACUUGUUGUACCCUAUUAAUAACGAAGUAUUGUUAUUGGUAUCAGGUUAUAUAUCACUGUACAAUAUGGACACUAGAUGGAGUUGUUGUUGAGUCGACUCGAGCAGAACAUGGCGAAUUACUUUUGCAGUUGCUCUUUGAUCACAACAGCCAUUUGUUAAAGAUAAGCUUAGUAUUUGAUUAGCUUUCAUUUUUAUGUUUAUAUGGCAAGAGACUAUCUUACUUUUCAUGAUCACCUCUCUUGACUACAGGCAAUGGUAUUCCAAAAAGACAAGUAUUGGGCAAAACCAAGAUCAUAUUUGGAUUUGUAGAAGGCUUUCCUACUAUGUUGAAAGGUGAAGUUGCAAUGGAUGGCAAUCCUUAUUGGUACCAGGAAGAAGGUGCUUGUCAUAUUAACUAAAGACAUGGGUUAGAGUCUCGUAGGAAGAAGGUGCUUGAUGUAUUAACUAAAGACAUGGGUUGGAGUUUUCGAGAUCUUAUGCACAAACUUGGGGUCUAAAGGCUCAUGUCUAAUUAUUUAUAUGUUUGAAGGUGGUACACAAUGUGAAGUAAUUUGUUCUUUCCAUAAAUGAGGAUUUCGAUAAGGUGGAUAAGAAGUCAGGUACCCAUGGCUGGAAGAAGAGUGCAAUGUGUCAUCAGUUUUAAGCUACAUGUACUUGUUUUUUCUUUGAAAUUUUAGAUAUUUUUUAAAAUAGAUUGUUCCAUUAGUGCUACUAUGAAAAGGAAAUGAAGUGAUGUACAUCUUGUUCCAAAUUUUUGGUAUUCGUUCAUU